UGGGGAAUAUUGCACAAUGGGGGAAACCCUGAUGCAGCAACGCCGCGUGAGUGAAGAAGUAUUUCGGUAUGUAAAGCUCUAUCAGCAGGGAAGAAGAUGACGGUACCUGAAUAAGAAGCCCCGGCUAACUACGUGCCAGCAGCCGCGGUAAUACGUAGGGGGCAAGCGUUAUCCGGAUUUACUGGGUGUAAAGGGAGCGCAGACGGCAGUGCAAGUCUGGAGUGAAAGCCCGGGGCCAACCCGAACAUGCUCUGAACUGAUGCUGCUGGAGUACUGGAGGGGCAGGCGGAAUUCCUAGUGUAGCGGUGAAAUGCGUAGAUAUUAGGAGGAACACCAGUGGCGAAAGGCGGCCUGCUGGACAGUAACUGACGUUGAGGCUCGAAAGCGUGGGGAGCAAACAAGGAUUAGAUACC
This 413-nucleotide ribosomal RNA is filed under the name uncultured bacterium. Its description in RNAcentral is "bacterial SSU rRNA". It matches the Rfam family "Bacterial small subunit ribosomal RNA", at positions 355 to 786 of the family's 1533-position model. The record is from RNAcentral.